This is a long non-coding RNA of Quercus robur (English oak), 1719 nucleotides long. RefSeq lists it as uncharacterized. The record is from RefSeq and is a predicted model, not a curated record. The transcript has 2 exons. Lineage: Eukaryota; Viridiplantae; Streptophyta; Magnoliopsida; Fagales; Fagaceae.
ACCACACAUCUCUCACAUUACCUCUUAUCCUCUUGGCCGGCCAUCCUCUCUUCUUAUUUUCUUUUCUUUCUUUUCUUUUCUCUCAUAAACUCCUCUCUAUCACUCUCUCAUCCUCUCACCGGUACCUCCUUAUCACCAUCUCCACCAUCAUUUUUCCGACAAUAUCACCAGAAAAUCCUUAGGAACCUCUAAGCACAUUCACCUCUUUUAUUUGAGGUUUGUUUGAUAUUGUUGAGGUUCUAGCUAAUCUCAUUUGGAGUUUGGAGAAUUAGGCUUUUUGUGGGUUGCAAGGUAAGUAGCUUUUUAAUGGGAUUUUUGAAAAAUAAUCAUGUUGUAUAAAUGUUGUUUUUGGGUUAGACACGCUUUUGGUAACUACCUAUGGAAACUAUUUUUGCUAAAAACUAUUGUGUCGUAACCUUAAUAUAUAUAUAUAUAUAUAUAUGAUUAUAUAUAUGAAAAUGCUUCAUAUUUGGUAUCUCAUUUGGGGAAUGUAUGAAUUGUUGACAUGGCAAAUAUGAGCAUCUUUUAUUUAAUCUUUGAUAAGGAAAUCAUAGAUUUUAUGGUAUAUUAGAAAAUUUAAAGAUGCUCAUCUUGUUUUGUAUUAUUUGGGAAAUUGAUAGAAAAUCUCUUGACAAGAAUGAAGUUGAAAACCUUAUAAACUUUGUAGAAGUUAGAUUAUUUAAGGUUUUUCUGAAACUACCUAGUUAUAAACUAUAUAUUUGAAAGGAAAUGUAUACCUGUGAGCUUUAUGUGGUUUUGACACCAUGCCAUGUGUGAUUUCCCGGUGAUCACCCGAUUUGGUUUCUGUAGUCUUUGUGACAAUGGAAUCAAAUCCAGGUUAGUGCCCUUUCACUUUGGAUGACGCAUUCUUCCCCGCUGCCCAUGGGGGAAAGAGGUUCCUUGAUUGCGUGUGAGUGAGGCUGCUGCCCAUGGGGCCAAGAGACCACAUGCAAGAGAGGUCCUAUUUGAUGCGCUCUCUCUACUGCUCAUAGGGGGAGAGAAAAAUCUUGAGGGUAUGGGUGAGGCUGCUGUCCAUGGGGCCAAGAGUUUGCAUACCAGAGAGGAUAAUAUCAUGCCAGUUGUGAAUGGGUGGAUCCCCUGACCGGUCUAUGUGGUAGCAUGGUAGAUUUGUGAUAAAAUUACCGUAUGUAGAUUUUAUGGCUUUGGAAAUUAUAUUAUUAGUGCUCACAGAUUAUAAUAUACAGUUUCAUGGUAUUAUUUUGAGAAAUUUUGUGUUUCAUCAUUUAAUCAUUCUUGUUACAUUAUUAUUGAAAAUGAUCUUGCCGUAUUCAGUUAGCAAUUUCCCAAACUAAAACAUGUUUUGUAAACUAUUCAGUAUCAUGAAACUUGCAUUUCCCCCCACCCCCAUUAAUUAUGCUACUUACUAGGCAUUAGCUCAUCCCACCCUCUAACAGUUUUUCAGAUUCACAAGCUAUACCUUGGGUAUGGAGCUUACUUCUUUGGUGAUGAUUAGAGUGCUAUAUUAAAUUUGGAGACUUUUGCUGUAAAUGGUUGAUGACUCGAUCUUGCUAUAUUCAAUGAGACCUUGAUUAAUUCUAUUGGAGGUGGGCCGCUUGAGAUUUGUUAGCCUUUGGCGUGGUAGGCCUAGACUCGAUGUUAAGGUCCUUAAUCUUGAUAAGAUUGUGACUUUGUGUAAUUUAAUGAGUUUUGUAAUAUAUUCAUGUAUUAUGUGGAGGUAAAUGAUUUUUAGUUAUUGUU